This is a long non-coding RNA of Cydia pomonella (codling moth), 905 nucleotides long. RefSeq lists it as uncharacterized. The record is from RefSeq and is a predicted model, not a curated record. The transcript has 4 exons. Lineage: Eukaryota; Metazoa; Arthropoda; Insecta; Lepidoptera; Tortricidae.
CCGAUAACCCACAGACGUUUAAAUCUUUGGCGAUGACAUUGCGCCAACGCUGCCUUGGUUUGCCCCUCCUGUUUGGGCCUGGUAAGGCAAAGCUAAGGGCUUUGUUGCCUACGUGUUCUUCUUUUGACAUGCCCAAAACCACCUCAGCCGACUUUCUUGGAGCUUCUCGGUGACGUCUCUCAUUCCGAGGCUACCACGGAUGUGUUCGUUUCGAACCCUAUCAAUCCUGGAGACGCCUGACAUCCACCUCAGCAUCUUCAUUUCUGCCACAUGGAUGGCUUGGACACAAUCUCGUGUACGACGUGUUUGCUCGUGCUCACUUGGGGAGCCUGGCUUCCGCUUAGAAACCUAAGUCCAAUAAUCGUAAGCAGCAGUACGAAAGCGACCGCUAUCCGACCUUCCAGAGCCAACAGGAAACUACGCCCUAUUGGGGUUCAUCACGAUGUUUUCCUUCACUGAAAUGCGAUUACUUAAUAGGUAUUAAAAUUUCGUACAGUAAGUUUCAUGAAACUCAUUUGCCCGAGCCAGGUUUAUAAUCUACGACGGUCGGUUUAACAUGUUGGUAAUAACGAGAUUGUACUCGUUUCUCAGGAAACAGUGGCGUGUGUGCUCGAGGCUGGAACGCCCGCUUCGGCAUCGAGGGAGAGCUCUCAGCCGGUGCUGACUUGGAGGCCUACAUCAAGCUUUUCGGCCUUCUCGACGCUGAAGCUCAAUUCGCCGUAUUCAUCAAAAUAAUUUCCGGAGGAAAAGGAAUCCAAGGAACAAGUGGCUCCAUCUACAUCGUCCUCAGUCAAGUCAAUACUCUUUGUGGCUACAUCACCAAUUACAAGCAGAUCUCUAAACACACCGUGACCCAAGCUUUCAUCAUUACUACCGUUAUCUCCGCUUCCAUCAGUAACUCCCGC